This 119-nucleotide ribosomal RNA is filed under the name Salmo salar (Atlantic salmon). Lineage: Eukaryota; Metazoa; Chordata; Actinopteri; Salmoniformes; Salmonidae. The record is from RNAcentral.
GCUUACGGCCAUACCAGCCUGGGUACGCCCGAUCUCGUCUGAUCUCGAAAGCUAAGCAGGGUCGGGCCUGGUUAGUACUUGGAUGGGAGACCGCCUGGGAAUACCAGGUGCUGUAAGCA